GGCGAACGCUGGCGGUGUGCUUAACACAUGCAAGUCGAACGGAAAGGCCCUGCUUUUGUGGGGUGCUCGAGUGGCGAACGGGUGAGUAACACGUGAGUAACCUGCCCUUGACUUUGGGAUAACUUCAGGAAACUGGGGCUAAUACCGGAUAGGAGCUCCUGCUGCAUGGUGGGGGUUGGAAAGUUUCGGCGGUUGGGGAUGGACUCGCGGCUUAUCAGCUUGUUGGUGGGGUAGUGGCUUACCAAGGCUUUGACGGGUAGCCGGCCUGAGAGGGUGACCGGCCACAUUGGGACUGAGAUACGGCCCAGACUCCUACGGGAGGCAGCAGUGGGGAAUAUUGCACAAUGGGCGGAAGCCUGAUGCAGCAACGCCGCGUGCGGGAUGACGGCCUUCGGGUUGUAAACCGCUUUCGCCUGUGACGAAGCGUGAGUGACGGUAAUGGGUAAAGAAGCACCGGCUAACUACGUGCCAGCAGCCGCGGUGAUACGUAGGGUGCGAGCGUUGUCCGGAUUUAUUGGGCGUAAAGGGCUCGUAGGUGGUUGAUCGCGUCGGAAGUGUAAUCUUGGGGCUUAACCCUGAGCGUGCUUUCGAUACGGGUUGACUUGAGGAAGGUAGGGGAGAAUGGAAUUCCUGGUGGAGCGGUGGAAUGCGCAGAUAUCAGGAGGAACACCAGUGGCGAAGGCGGUUCUCUGGGCCUUUCCUGACGCUGAGGAGCGAAAGCGUGGGGAGCGAACAGGCUUAGAUACCCUGGUAGUCCACGCUGUAAACGGUGGGUACUAGGUGUGGGGUCCAUUCCACGGGUUCCGUGCCGUAGCUAACGCUUUAAGUACCCCGCCUGGGGAGUACGGCCGCAAGGCUAAAACUCAAAGGAAUUGACGGGGCCCCGCACAAGCGGCGGAGCAUGCGGAUUAAUUCGAUGCAACGCGUAGAACCUUACCUGGGUUUGACAUGGAUCGGGAGUGCUCAGAGAUGGGUGUGCCUCUUUUGGGGUCGGUUCACAGGUGGUGCAUGGCUGUCGUCAGCUCGUGUCGUGAGAUGUUGGGUUAAGUCCCGCAACGAGCGCAACCCUUGUUCACUGUUGCCAGCACGUUAUGGUGGGGACUCAGUGGAGACCGCCGGGGUCAACUCGGAGGAAGGUGGGGAUGACGUCAAGUCAUCAUGCCCCUUAUGUCCAGGGCUUCACGCAUGCUACAAUGGCUGGUACAGAGAGUGGCGAGCCUGUGAGGGUGAGCGAAUCUCGGAAAGCCGGUCUCAGUUCGGAUUGGGGUCUGCAACUCGACCUCAUGAAGUCGGAGUCGCUAGUAAUCGCAGAUCAGCAACGCUGCGGUGAAUACGUUCCCGGG
This 1343-nucleotide ribosomal RNA is filed under the name uncultured bacterium. RNAcentral describes it as "16S ribosomal RNA". It matches the Rfam family "Bacterial small subunit ribosomal RNA", at positions 28 to 1378 of the family's 1533-position model. The record is from RNAcentral.